UUUGCUGCAAAGUAAAGUUUAAAGUUCCCCGGAUUUUGGAGAAUUUUAAACUUUAUAUUCGAGUCAAACAACACUCUCAACAAUGGAGAGUUAAGGCGCCCAACUCGACGCUCAUGGGACACCAUGAAAGGCGUUGGUUGCUUAAGACAGCAGGACGGUAGCCAUGGAAGUCGGAAUCCGCUAAGGAGUGUGUAACAACUCACCUGCCGAAGCAACUAGCCCUGAAAAUGGAUGGCGCUGAAGCGUCGAGCCUAUACUCUGCCGUCAGCGGCAAGGGGGGCGGCCGCGUGCGCGUCGCGUACGCGCCGCCACGAAGCCCUGACGAGUAGGAGGGUCGCGGCGGUGUGCGCAGAAGGGUCUGGGCGCGAGCCUGCCUGGAGCCGCCGUCGGUG
Molecule: non-coding RNA, 392 nt
Filed under: Mycetomoellerius zeteki
Lineage: Eukaryota; Metazoa; Arthropoda; Insecta; Hymenoptera; Formicidae
Description: Trachymyrmex zeteki Eukaryotic large subunit ribosomal RNA
Rfam family: Eukaryotic large subunit ribosomal RNA
Source: Rfam by way of RNAcentral